Molecule: ribosomal RNA, 441 nt
Filed under: uncultured bacterium
Lineage: Bacteria
Description: partial 16S ribosomal RNA
Rfam family: Bacterial small subunit ribosomal RNA
Source: RNAcentral
CUACGGGUUGCACCAGUCGCGAAUCUUCCGCAAUGGGCGAAAGCCUGACGGAGCGACGCCGCGUGCAGGAUGAAGGCCUUAGGGUUGUAAACUGCUUUUAUUAGGGACGAACAAAUGACGGUACCUAAUGAAUAAGAGGUUGCUAACUCUGUGCCAGCAGCAGCGGUAAUACAGAGACCUCGAGCGUUAUCCGGAUUUAUUGGGCGUAAAGGGUCCGUAGGCGGCCCUGUAGGUCCUGUGUAAAAUCUUCGGGCUCAACCCGAAAUCUGCGCAGGAAACCACAUGGCUAGAGAAUGGGAGAGGCACACGGAAUUACCGGUGUAGCGGUUAAAUGCGUUAAUAUCGGUAAGAACACCAAAGGCGAAGGCAGUGUGCUGGAACAUUUCUGACGCUGAGGGACGAAAGCGUGGGUAGCGAAAGGGAUUAGAUACCCGCGUAGUC